CCUACGGGGGGCAGCAGUGGGGAAUAUUGGACAAUGGGGGCAACCCUGAUCCAGCCAUGCCGCGUGUGUGAAGAAGGCCCUCGGGUUGUAAAGCACUUUCAGUGAGGAAGAAUGCCUGGUGGUGAAGACCCAUCAGGAAAGACAUCACUCACAGAAGAAGCACCGGCUAACUCCGUGCCAGCAGCCGCGGUAAUACGGAGGGUGCGAGCGUUAAUCGGAAUUACUGGGCGUAAAGCGCGCGUAGGUGGCUUGAUAAGCCGGUUGUGAAAGCCCCGGGCUCAAACUGGGAACGGCAUCCGGAACUGUCAAGCUAGAGUGCAGGAGAGGAAGGUAGAAUUCCCGGUGUAGCGGUGAAAUGCGUAGAGAUCGGGAGGAAUACCAGUGGCGAAGGCGGCCUUCUGGACUGACACUGACACUGAGGUGCGAAAGCGUGGGUAGCAAACAGGAUUAGAUACCCCAGUAGUC
Molecule: ribosomal RNA, 465 nt
Filed under: Vreelandella stevensii
Lineage: Bacteria; Pseudomonadati; Pseudomonadota; Gammaproteobacteria; Oceanospirillales; Halomonadaceae
Description: partial 16S ribosomal RNA
Rfam family: Bacterial small subunit ribosomal RNA
Source: RNAcentral